GCCAGGUGUGGUGGCGCAGGCCUGUAAUCCCAGCAGCUUGGGAGGCUGAGGCAGGGGAGUCAUGAGUUCAAAGCCAGCCUCAGCAAAAGCGAGGAGCUAAGCAACCCUGUCUCUA
This 115-nucleotide small RNA is filed under the name Marmota monax (woodchuck). The record is from RNAcentral. Lineage: Eukaryota; Metazoa; Chordata; Mammalia; Rodentia; Sciuridae.